Molecule: long non-coding RNA, 1971 nt
Filed under: Salmo salar (Atlantic salmon)
Lineage: Eukaryota; Metazoa; Chordata; Actinopteri; Salmoniformes; Salmonidae
Description: lncRNA (ENSSSAG00000088228.1)
Source: RNAcentral
UGUUUUUUUGUGGGUUUUUUUAAGCACUUCUGCAUCCUGCCCAACUUGGAUGCUGGAUGUAACUCUGAGCUGGAUGCUGGAUGCUGGAUGUAACUCUGAACUGGAUGCUGGAUGCUGGAUGUAACUCUGAGCUGGAUGCUGGAUGCUGGAUGUAACUCUGAACUAGAUGCUGGAUGUAACUCUGAACUGGAUGCUGGAUGCUGGAUGUAACUCUGAACUAGAUGCUGGAUGUAACUCUGAACUGGAUGCUGGAUGUAACUCUGAACUGGAUGCUGGAUGUAACUCUGAGCUGGAUGCUGGAUGUAACUCUGAACUAGAUGCUGGAUGUAACUCUGAACUGGAUGCUGGAUGCUGGAUGUAACUCUGAACUGGAUGCUGGAUGUAACUCUGAACUGGAUGCUGGAUGCUGGAUGUAACUCUGAGCUGGAUGCUGAAUGUUACUCUGACCUGGAUGCUGGAUGUAACUCUGACCUGGAUGCUGGAUGCUGGAUGCUGGAUGUAACUCUGACCUGGAUGCUGGAUGUAACUCUGAGCUGGAUGCUGGAUGUCAUUCUGAACUGGAUGCUGGAUGCUGGAUGUAACUCUGAGCUGGAUGCUGGAUGCUGGAUGUAACUCUGAACUGGAUGCUGGAUGCUGGAUGUAACUCUGAGCUGGAUGCUGGAUGUAACUCUGAACUGGAUGCUGGAUGUAACUCUGAACUGGAUGCUGAAUGCUGGAUGUAACUCUGAACUGGAUGCUGGAUGCUGGAUGUAACUCUGAGCUGGAUGCUGGAUGUAACUUUGACCUGGAUGCUCUCCCAAAAACAUCCAGGUCGCUAUGCCGUACAUCCGGCUCGUUUUACUUCUGCAUCCCGCUCAACAUCCACUCGAUGGCUUCCCCUGACAGGAGACGUCUACCUGCUCUUUAUCAUCCGUCCACGUCUUCCUCACUGUAACAGCCACUACUGCUCUUUAGCGUCCGUCCACGUCUUCCUCUGUGUAACAGCCCCUACAGCUCAAUAGUGUGCAGUGAAUUUGACUAGAUGUAAGGCUUUAAUGAAUAUGACAUGUAUUCUAAGCAAAAAAUUUUUUUUCGAAAUUGCACAAACAAUCAAUUUUUUGCAUACCCAAAAAGCAAGUACAGGGGCGCGUCUGAUUUCAUUCCUUAUUCUCAGGGCCAGGUGUUUAUUCUACAUGUCAGAGAGGCAUGUUUGCUCCAGUUACAUAGACGAUUUAUAUUUGAACGUUCCAAAAACAUUGUGUCCUGCUGAACAUGUAGAAUGUAUUGCAGCUAAACAUGGUAUUCGGACACGGUCCAUGUAAUAAUGUCUGAGAAAAUCUGUUGAUGAUUUGUCGCUACAGAUGGUUUGUUACAUGGUUAGGAGAAUUAACAUGGCAGUUUAGGAGAAUUAACAUGAUAGGUUAGGAGAAUUACCAUGGCAGGUUAGGAGAAUUAACAUGGCAGGUUAGGAGAAUUAACAUGAUAGGUUAGGAUAAUUAACAUGGCAGGUUAGGAGAAUUAACAUGGCAGGUUAGGAGAAUUAACAUGAUAGGUUAGGAGAAUUAACAUGGCAGGUUAGGAGAAUUAACAUGAUAGGUUAUGAUAAUUAACAUGGCAGUUUAGGGGAAUUAACAUGGCAGGUUAGGAGAAUUAACAUGAUAGGUUAGGAGAAUUAACAUGGCAGGUUAGGAGAAUUAACAUGGCAGGUUAGGAGAAUUAACAUGGCAGGUUAGGAGAAUUAACAUGGCAGGUUAGGAUAAUUAACAUGGCAGGUUAGGAUAAAUAACAUGGCAGGUUAGGAGAAUUAACAUGGCAGGUUAAGAGAAUUAACAUGAUAGGUUAGGAGAAUUAACAUGAUAGGUUAGGAGAAUUAACAUUUACAUUUACAUUACAUUUAAGUCAUUUAGCAGACGCUCUUAUCCAGAGCGACUUACAAAAUGGUGCAUUCACCUUAUGAUAUCCAGUGGAACAACCACUUUACAAUAGUGCAUC